This 289-nucleotide ribosomal RNA is filed under the name Ornithodoros coriaceus. Its description in RNAcentral is "partial 16S ribosomal RNA". The stretch from base 139 to 289 matches the Rfam family "Bacterial large subunit ribosomal RNA", at positions 2473 to 2620 of the family's 2925-position model. Lineage: Eukaryota; Metazoa; Arthropoda; Arachnida; Ixodida; Argasidae. The record is from RNAcentral.
UAAUUUAUAUUUUAAUUAAGAUUAUUAGAAAUUUAUUUUUUAGUUAUGAUUGGGGUGAUUUUUAAAGAUUAUUAAUCUUUAAAAUUUUUUAAUAAAAAAGUUCCAUUAGUAUACGUUUUUUGAUAAAAAUACUCUAGGGAUAACAGCGUUAUUAUUUUGGAUAGUUCAUAUAGAUAAAAUAGUUUGCGACCUCGAUGUUGGAUCUAGAGAUUCUUUUAUGGAUGAAGAAGUUAUAAGGGAGAAGUUUGCUCAACUUUUAAAGUCCUACUUGAUCUGAGUUCAGACCGGG